RNAcentral lists this transfer RNA (232 nucleotides) under Collinsella aerofaciens. Its description in RNAcentral is "transfer-messenger RNA, SsrA". The stretch from base 158 to 230 matches the Rfam family "tRNA". The record is from RNAcentral. Lineage: Bacteria; Bacillati; Actinomycetota; Coriobacteriia; Coriobacteriales; Coriobacteriaceae.
GGGAGCGACCGGACUGGAGCUGGAUAGGCGGGCGGAAAGGGCAUCUCGGGGCAACGCGGCCCGUUUCCGCGUCCGUAUCCGCGGCCGCGGCGGCGAAAGUUUUUCCGAAAUUGUCCUUGCAUCGCCGUCCGAGUUCCCGUAUAGUACUUCUUCGCACGGGGGCGUAGCUCAGCUGGGAGAGCGCUUGACUGGCAGUCAAGAGGUCAGGGGUUCGAUCCCCCUCGUCUCCACC